UGUAGGAGCCGGCUUGCUGGCGAUGAGGCCCUUGAGCCUUGCAGCGAUCUUGCGGACGCUAUCGCCAGCAAGCCGGCUCCCACA
RNAcentral lists this unclassified non-coding RNA (84 nucleotides) under Pseudomonas asplenii. The record is from RNAcentral. Lineage: Bacteria; Pseudomonadati; Pseudomonadota; Gammaproteobacteria; Pseudomonadales; Pseudomonadaceae.